RNAcentral lists this ribosomal RNA (478 nucleotides) under uncultured bacterium. RNAcentral describes it as "bacterial LSU rRNA". It matches the Rfam family "Bacterial large subunit ribosomal RNA", at positions 187 to 718 of the family's 2925-position model. The record is from RNAcentral.
AGGGAACUGAAACAUCCUAAGUACCCUGGAGGAAAGGACAUCAACAGAGACUCCGCUAGUAGUGGCGAGCGAACGCGGAUCAGGCCAGUGCCUCAGUGAAGAUAAGUGGAACCUUCUGGAAAAGUUGGGCCGUAGCGGGUGAUAGCCCCGUACACGUAAUGCGGAUCUGAGGCCUCGAGUAGGGCGGGACACGUGAAAUCCUGUUCGAACAUGGGGGGACCACCCUCCAAGCCUAAGUACUCCUUACCGACCGAUAGCGAACCAGUACCGUGAGGGAAAGGUGAAAAGCACCCCGACAAGGGGAGUGAAAUAGACCUGAAACCGAAUGCCUACAAACAGUCGGAGCCCGCAAGGGUGACGGCGUACCUUUUGUAUAAUGGGUCUGCGACUUAGUCUGACGAGCAAGCUUAAGGCGAUAGCUGUAGGCGAAGCGAAAGCGAGUCUGAACAGGGCGUUCAGUUCGUCGGACUAGACCCGA